This 504-nucleotide ribosomal RNA is filed under the name uncultured bacterium. RNAcentral describes it as "partial 16S ribosomal RNA". It matches the Rfam family "Bacterial small subunit ribosomal RNA", at positions 28 to 523 of the family's 1533-position model. The record is from RNAcentral.
GAUAAACGCUAGCGGCAGGCUUAACACAUGCAAGUCGAGGGGCAGCACAGAUUGUAGCAAUACAAUUGGUGGCGACCGGCGCACGGGUGCGUAACGCGUAUGCAACCUACCCGUCACAGGGGGAUAAUCCGGAGAAAUCUGGUCUAAUACCCCAUAACAUAUGGAUCGGCAUCGGUUCAUGUUGAAAUUUUCGGAGGUGACGGAUGGGCAUGCGUAGCAUUAGCUUGUUGGUGAGGUAACGGCUCACCAAGGCGACGAUGCUUAGGGGGACUGAGAGGUUUUCCCCCCACACUGGUACUGAGACACGGACCAGACUCCUACGGGAGGCAGCAGUGAGGAAUAUUGGUCAAUAGGCGCAAGCCUGAACCAGCCAUGCCGCGUGCAGGAUGACGGCUCUAUGAGUUGUAAACUGCUUUUGUACGAGGGUAAAGUGGGUUACGUGUAACCUUUUGAAAGUAUCGUACGAAUAAGGAUCGGCUAACUCCGUGCCAGCCGCCGCAGUAA